Molecule: ribosomal RNA, 492 nt
Filed under: uncultured bacterium
Lineage: Bacteria
Description: partial 16S ribosomal RNA
Rfam family: Bacterial small subunit ribosomal RNA
Source: RNAcentral
AGUGAACGCUGGCGGUAGGCCUAACACAUGCAAGUCGAACGGCAGCACAGUAAGAGCUUGCUCUUACGGGUGGCGAGUGGCGGACGGGUGAGGAAUACAUCGGAAUCUACUUUUUCGUGGGGGAUAACGUAGGGAAACUUACGCUAAUACCGCAUACGACCUACGGGUGAAAGCAGGGGAUCUUCGGACCUUGCGCGAUUGAAUGAGCCGAUGUCGGAUUAGCUAGUUGGCGGGGUAAAGGCCCACCAAGGCGACGAUCCGUAGCUGGUCUGAGAGGAUGAUCGGCCACACUGGAACUGAGACACGGUCCAGACUCCUACGGGAGGCAGCAGUGGGGAAUAUUGGACAAUGGGCGCAAGCCUGGUCCAGCCAUACCGCGUGGGUGAAGAAGGCCUUCGGGUUGUAAAGCCCUUUUGUUGGGAAAGAAAAGCAGCAGGUUAAUACCCCGCUGUUCUGACGGUACCCAAAGAGUAAGCACCGGCUAACUUCGUG